RNAcentral lists this ribosomal RNA (175 nucleotides) under uncultured bacterium. Its description in RNAcentral is "partial 16S ribosomal RNA". It matches the Rfam family "Bacterial small subunit ribosomal RNA", at positions 338 to 525 of the family's 1533-position model. The record is from RNAcentral.
UCUACGGGCGGCAGCAGUGGGGAAUAUUGUGCAAUGGGCGAAAGCCUGACGCAGCGACGCCGCGUGAGGGAUGACGGCCUUCGGGUUGUAAACCUCUUUCGCACGGGACGAAGGGUGACUGACGGUACCGUGAGAAGAAGCACCGGCUAACUACGUGCCAGCAGCCGCGGUAAUA